ACUGUUGAGAGGGAGCCCAGUCCAUCCACUUUGGCUACCCUGAGUGACGACCAGUGCUGAGAGGCUAGGAAAUUGACGCUUGAGUACAGGAAGAAGAUGACCCACGACCCGGGUAAAUGCUCCACCAUCCUAACCGAAUUUCCACACUUUCUGGAUGUGAAGGGCUUGAUUGAACAGGAUUUUAUGCUGCUGUUUGGAGAGGGAACAUCAGACACGUUUUUGGAGAGGUGGCCAACUACAUUCAAGCAAAAUACCAUCAUGCUAAGCAAGACCCUAAGCAAGGCCACUCAGGGAGCUGAACUUCAGGAGCUGAUCCAGAUAGCAGAAUCUGCAGUUGAUGAGGGAGCUGACACAAAUGCUGAUGGAUGGGACGAUGACCUUUCGUCCAUCCUUCUCCUGCUCCAUUUGAUUCUUCCUUCAUCACAAGGCCGAAAAAGACCAGGCAAGAUGUCUGCAUCCCAAACUGAACAGCAUCUUGUGAUAUUCCAAAAGUAUCCAGGAGCACCUUGAUGUGAUUAACCAGAGCCGCCAACCAUGUCGUCUUGCAGUCGAGACCAGGAAGAGCAGCAUCCACGCUUACUUCUUCCUCCUGGACAAGCGAGCCUUGCCGUGCAAGUCAACGAGCGCUCUUGGUGCCUUCGAUGAGCUUUUCAAGACUCACUUUCACUUCUUACAAUACAAUGCUGCGCAACAUGUACACCUUCAUACAGACAGCGUAUACAACAUAGACAUUGGGAAGGUUAAGGAGACUCCGAGGGUUGCUGAGCUCAGAACUAAACUCCUGUACUAACGCUGAUUAAGUUCUAAUAAUAUGUUUUGUUUGCCAUGCUAGUCAUGGAAGUACCAACUUGUUCGUGAGGCAUCUCAAGUUGAUGCAUGGAUUGUGCCCUGGUAGAACUCGUAGACUAACAUGUGGUCAAGCAGAUUGUUGUCGGGGAUUUGGUACAUUUUCAGGCUUCAGGAAGCAGUUGAGAAGGGCACAUUCCGGAGACUCAAAUUUUGUUAAACACUAACUUGGAUGCUAAUACAGCCAUUGAUAGUGAGCCAAAUAAUGCUAAUUUCCCUUCAAAUUCUAGUUGUAACCAUGUUGUACCAAUAUCUAACAAAAACACACUUGAUAUGUGUACGUCUGCUAUUGCACAACUGCAGGCUGCAGGUGUUGGUCAGAUGACUGUAAAUAGUUUUGUAUCUUCCAUGGAAGAAGCAGUUCAAGAGAUACAGGGUCAAGCUAAAGUGACUGCUCUUACACGUAUAUCUUCAAAAGACACAGAAACUGUCAGAAAAAUCAAACAUUCUUUUCAGGAUAUUGAAAAUCCUUGCACAUUGUUGAAUUCGGUAUCAAAACGAAGUGCUUAUUUCAUACAAAAAUGGGGAACAGUUCAACCAGUUGAGAAAGUCCUUGGUGUUAGAUUUGACAAUAGAAGAAACAACACUACUGGAAGUUAUGAUCAAAUAGUCAUAACUGAUACAUUUUCUGACGUUCCAAUUCUCCAGACAUUGCAGUCAAUUUUGAAGAACCCAAACACAAGUGGCAUGUUUAACUUGGGGCACAAUUUUAAAGAUGGAGUUUACUUUGAUUUGGAAGAUGGACUAUAUAUGAAGAGACAUAUAUAGGUCGUAUACAUGGCAGUAUCGUCCAAGUAACUGGAGAUAAUCUUGGUAUACAUUGCCUGUUUGGUUUUGUGGAAUCUUUUAGUGCUAGUUUUUGUUGACGUUUUUGCCUCACCGAGAAAGUGUAUUUUCAAACUGUUCUCUGAGGAUGACCCAAGAGUGACUUUACGAACAAAACACAUGCACUCAGACCAUUGUGAAACUAUUCAGUCAAACCCAACACUACCUCAUGUGUACGGUGUGAAGCAUGCUUACUUAUUGAACUCUCUGCAGUACUUCAAUACGACAGACACUUUUUCCGUUGAAAUAAUGCAUGACAUUUUAGAAGGAGUUGCACAAUUUGAGGUAAAACUUGUCUUACAGUAAGAUGAUAAAUACUGGCAGCUACUUCUGUUACUACUACUACUCAUUGUAAAUAUUGACUAUCUGUCUGAAGCAGUUAAUUGCUGAACAUCAUAGGUUUUUCAAGUAUCUGUUUCCUGACAGAAAUCUGUUUACCGAAACACCAAUGCAUGAUACAAUAUCCUCAUUGUAUAAGGAAUAUUGGGCCCAUUCUUCACUCGUGUAUGCGCUACAAGGCAAAACAGAAUUUCUUUAAAAAAGCAAUUGUAGAGUUUUAAGAAUGUCACUAUGAACUUAGCCAAGGAACACCAAAAUCACAUGGCAUAUAAUUGGGAAACGUUCAGCCAGGAUAGACUAGCUUCAGAUCAAG
This is a long non-coding RNA of Oncorhynchus nerka (sockeye salmon), 2323 nucleotides long. RefSeq lists it as uncharacterized. The record is from RefSeq and is a predicted model, not a curated record. Lineage: Eukaryota; Metazoa; Chordata; Actinopteri; Salmoniformes; Salmonidae. The transcript has 4 exons.